RNAcentral lists this ribosomal RNA (484 nucleotides) under uncultured bacterium. Its description in RNAcentral is "partial 16S ribosomal RNA". It matches the Rfam family "Bacterial small subunit ribosomal RNA", at positions 29 to 507 of the family's 1533-position model. The record is from RNAcentral.
AGUGAACGCUGGCGGCAGGCCUAACACAUGCAAGUCGAGCGGCAGCAGGGAGCUUGCUCCUGGAUUCAGCGGCGGACGGGUGGGUAGUGCCUAGGAAUCUGCCUGGUUGUGGUGGAGAACGUCAGGAAGCAGGCGCUAAUACCGCAUACGUCCUGAGGGCGUACGUGGGGGAUCUUGGGACCUCACGCUAUCAGAUGAGCCUAUGUCGGAUUAGCUAGUUGGUGGGGUAAAGGCCUACCAAGGCGACGAUCCGUAACUGGUCUGAGAGGAUGAUCAGUCACACUGGAACUGAGACACGGUCCAGACUCCUACGGGAGGCAGCAGUGGGGAAUAUUGGACAAAGGGCGAAAGCCUGAUCCAGCCAUGCCGCGUGUGUGAAGAAGGUCUUCGGAUUGUAAAGCACUUUAAGUUGGGAGGAAGGGCAGUAAGUUAAUACCUUGCUGUUUUGACGUUACCAACAGAAUAAGCACCGGCUAACUUCGUG